GUGGAAUCGCCUAGACAGGAGCGUGAUAAAUAGGUAAAUGAACUACGAGACCAUAAUGGUGGAGGCGAUUACAACAAUCGCUACACUUUGACGAAGAAUUAGAAGAUUUAGAUGUGGUGAUAAUGGUGAUGAUGCGUAUCUAUGAUAGCUGUUGGGUACAGUUCUCUUAUUGGUGGGAAUGAUGGAGCCGUUGUCAAUAUUAAUGAGCAGUGAUGGUUAAGGUUGUGUAUAUAAAGUAGACAUUUUGUAACGGCAUUGAGGAGUGUGUGG
Molecule: long non-coding RNA, 270 nt
Filed under: Olea europaea subsp. europaea
Lineage: Eukaryota; Viridiplantae; Streptophyta; Magnoliopsida; Lamiales; Oleaceae
Source: RNAcentral